RNAcentral lists this ribosomal RNA (441 nucleotides) under uncultured bacterium. RNAcentral's name for it is "bacterial SSU rRNA". It matches the Rfam family "Bacterial small subunit ribosomal RNA", at positions 338 to 795 of the family's 1533-position model. The record is from RNAcentral.
CCUACGGGUGGCAGCAGUGAGGAAUAUUCCACAAUGGGGGAAACCCUGAUGGAGCGAUGCCGCGUGCAGGAAGACGCUUUUCGGAGUGUAAACUGCUUUUAAUAGGGAAGAUUAUGACGGUACCUAUAGAAUAAGGACCGGCUAACUACGUGCCAGCAGCCGCGGUAAUACGUAGGGUCCAAGCGUUAUUCGGAAUUACUGGGCGUAAAGCGUUCGUAGGCGGUUUGGUAAGUUGGAUGUGAAAUCCUGUGGCUCAACCACAUGGACUGUGUCCAAAACUACCUGACUAGAGCAUAGUAGAGGCAAGUGGAAUUUGCGGUGUAGGAGUGACAUCCGUAGAUAUCGCAAGGAACACCAAUGGCGAAGGCAGCUUGCUGGGCUAUUGCUGACGCUCAGGAACGAAAGCGUGGGGAGCGAACGGGAUUAGAUACCCUUGUAGUC